UUCCGUGUAUCCUUGGGCCUUGCUGGCUCUGGCAGUCACUUCCUAGCCGUGGAAAGCAUGUUCUUGUUAUUGCCAAAGCCGUCACCAUUUAAUUGGUCUCAGAUUCUGACUUGAACAAGUAACAUCU
RNAcentral lists this small nucleolar RNA (127 nucleotides) under Microtus ochrogaster (prairie vole). RNAcentral describes it as "Small nucleolar RNA SNORA24 (ENSMOCG00000005838.1)". It matches the Rfam family "Small nucleolar RNA SNORA24". Rfam says of the family: ACA24 is a member of the H/ACA class of snoRNA that guide the sites of modification of uridines to pseudouridines. Lineage: Eukaryota; Metazoa; Chordata; Mammalia; Rodentia; Cricetidae. The record is from RNAcentral.